CGAGGAUGCAUAUGUUUGGGGGUGCUGCUGUGCAAGCAAUAACCUGCUUGGUAUCAACAUCACAUCUUUACAGUCAGCCUUUGACAGCCAGGCAGGGACUCAAAGGCUAAUCCAACGCAUCACCUAAUUUGUGGUUUUGCAUCUGCCUCCACCCUGACUCUUUUUUAACCUUCUCCUUCGCCCCAUAUACAUGUAUAUGGAAUUUAGCAGAGCAGUGUCCAUGUCCUCUGAGGAGAAUCCUGCUGCCUGGAUUCAUCUCAGCCCAGUAAAGGGUUACCAGGAAACCAAAGAGAAUGGCACAACCUGUUUGCUGAUUAAGGAGGCAAGUUCAGAGUGUCAUGUGAAGCGGACUACAGCCCAAGUUGGGUGUGCCAACCAUUUAUUCCUGGGAUGUAACUGGCAGCUGAGGAAGAUCACUUUGGCAAGCCUGUGCCAAGGGGUCAUAUAAUUACACAAGGAGAAACCUUACUCCAAGACAAAGUUCAGGAAGAGUUAAAAGGAAUACCUCAAUCAAGCAGAGGUCAGCAAAUGUUUUCUGUAAAGGACGAAAUAAAUACUUUAGGGUUUGUAGCCACAUAAGGUCUGUCACAUUAAUCUUGUGUGUGUGUGUAUGUGUGUAUACAGUGCCUUAAAAAUGCAUAAAACAUUCUCAG
Molecule: long non-coding RNA, 653 nt
Filed under: Homo sapiens (human)
Lineage: Eukaryota; Metazoa; Chordata; Mammalia; Primates; Hominidae
Description: HSALNT0393460
Source: RNAcentral